AGAAAUACGUUGCCUUCAUGGCGUCUUCUUCGCGUAAGCCGGUGGUUGUAAGCGACUAUGGAGCAGGAGUUUCCCUGAGAGCGUUCUUCUAAUAACGGACUCCAGUACGCUGUGCAGGACACGUGCACGAAUGCACUUUGGGAGAAGCAACGUGCCGCACGUACCGUGCAAAAGAAGGUAAACGCUCGAGCCAAGGUCGAGCUUCAGACGUCACUGAUACUUGAUGUUUAACCUAUCCGAGCACAAUUCGGCAGCCGAGUCCACAGGAUCCAGGACAAAAACGAGUUUCGGGGCUGGUUCAUCAGUCAACACCGUUGUCUAGGAGAGAGAUGGGUAAGCACUCUCUGCAAUGCUGUCUGGAGCGUGGCGGCAACGCUCGGAGGCGACAGCGUUCCCCGGUGCGUCGUCGUCGUUUCCGUUCCCUGGCAGGUGAAAGCGGGAACGUGGUGGAAACCAUAGUGAUAGCCUUUUACAGAGGUAGGAUCGAAGCUACAAACACUGCCGGCAUGCUCCGUGCAUAGAAGUGUGGGCUCGAACCGAAGCAUAUUGUCCGUGAGUCUCCAGUUCCAAUGUGGCGCGAACAUCGCUUGCGAGCAACGAGCUCGUGACUGCGUACAUUCAUGAUGAACACGGACGCUGCUGGCGAGCCGCGGGUUCGACGACUCGCUAAAUUCUGCCAUUCCGUCUAUGACGCAACGAAAAACAAUUCGAAUCCCGCUCAUUCAUUGGUCCAGGGCAUCGUAUUCUCACUUGAGCUCAUUUUACUUUCAAGCAUUUGGCGCUCGGCGGGCAAUGCCAGUGAUAUCAGUAGACGCGGCGCAGUGGCAUCGACUAAACCUGGUGACACGCACGUGGAGAUUGAGGCUCAUCAGUGGCGGUAGCUUGCUCAUCGUUCCCGUGAAACACCGCCCACUUUUGUGGGUAACACACCACAGACCGUGAGCGUGAAACCGGGAGCGUAUGUCGACACUGGUGUUGAUCAUGUGGCGCGUGUAAAAUGCCUUGCUCAGGCUUCCGCUUGCUCUAGCCAGACGGCUGAUGGCGCAUUCGCGAGCAGUUUUCGGGUCUCUCCGAUGUCGACGAGGCCGGCGAAUGCAUCUGAGUUAAUACGACGCGCGGUGCUGAGACAGAACUCAUCAGCUGCUUGGUACCUGAGGAACAGGCGCUGCAGAUGUCGCUCCAGCUGGUCUAGAUGGAGUAGAAUAUUUUCCUCUAAACGCUUUUGGUGGUCGCGUAUAUCAUGCAGCGCCUGGUCGGUUUGCGUCGAGUCAACGGGCGAAAGGGCGCAUGCUUCAUCCGACUCCAUAGCCUCUUGAUUCUCAUCGUGCAGGAAAUUCUGAACGUCCUCCCAGCCAGCAAUUUCACGGUCAUACAGAGCUUCAAGUGCAGUAAGGGCGCUGAGGGAUUUGCGCAUUCGCUGGUUGUGUUUGUUCGGUCGCAUUGGUCUUUGCAACAACCUGUUCACAUCGGCGAAGGUCAGCUCCUCUAAACGUGGACGCUCCUCAGAUUC
This is an RNA transcript of Cyanidioschyzon merolae strain 10D, 1510 nucleotides long. RefSeq lists it as hypothetical. The transcript has a single exon. The record is from RefSeq and is a predicted model, not a curated record. NCBI's taxonomy places the organism in Eukaryota, Rhodophyta, Bangiophyceae, Cyanidiales, Cyanidiaceae.